AACGAACGCUGGCGGUAUGCCUAACACAUGCAAGUCGAACGAGACCUUCGGGUCUAGUGGCGCACGGGUGCGUAACGCGUGGGAACCUGCCCUUAGGUUCGGAAUAACUCCCCGAAAGGGGUGCUAAUACCGGAUAAUGUCUUCGGACCAAAGAUUUAUCGCCUUUGGAUGGGCCCGCGUUGGAUUAGCUAGUUGGUAGGGUAAAAGCCUACCAAGGCGACGAUCCAUAGCUGGUCUGAGAGGAUGAUCAGCCACACUGGGACUGAGACACGGCCCAGACUCCUACGGGAGGCAGCAGUGGGGAAUAUUGGACAAUGGGCGAAAGCCUGAUCCAGCAAAGCCGCGUGAGUGAUGAAGGCCUUAGGGUUGUAAAGCUCUUUUACCCGGGAUGAUAAUGACAGUACCGGGAGAAUAAGCUCCGGCUAACUCCGUG
RNAcentral lists this ribosomal RNA (433 nucleotides) under uncultured bacterium. RNAcentral describes it as "partial 16S ribosomal RNA". It matches the Rfam family "Bacterial small subunit ribosomal RNA", at positions 29 to 507 of the family's 1533-position model. The record is from RNAcentral.